CACUCCUACGGGAGGCAGCAGUGGGGAAUAUUGCACAAUGGGCGCAAGCCUGAUGCAGCCAUGCCGCGUGUAUGAAGAAGGCCUUCGGGUUGUAAAGUACUUUCAGCGGGGAGGAAGGCAAUACGGUUAAUAACCGUGUUGAUUGACGUUACCCGCAGAAGAAGCACCGGCUAACUCCGUGCCAGCAGCCGCGGUAAUACGGAGGGUGCAAGCGUUAAUCGGAAUUACUGGGCGUAAAGCGCACGCAGGCGGUCUGUCAAGUCGGAUGUGAAAUCCCCGGGCUCAACCUGGGAACUGCAUUCGAAACUGGCAGGCUUGAGUCUUGUAGAGGGGGGUAGAAUUCCAGGUGUAGCGGUGAAAUGCGUAGAGAUCUGGAGGAAUACCGGUGGCGAAGGCGGCCCCCUGGACAAAGACUGACGCUCAGGUGCGAAAGCGUGGGGAGCAAACAGGAUUAGAUACCCGUGUAGUCCCAUGA
This 475-nucleotide ribosomal RNA is filed under the name uncultured organism. RNAcentral's name for it is "partial 16S ribosomal RNA". It matches the Rfam family "Bacterial small subunit ribosomal RNA", at positions 334 to 800 of the family's 1533-position model. The record is from RNAcentral.